GUUUUGUUCGUUUUAUUGAUGUCAGUGUCAAAUGUGACCUGGACAAAUUAUGCCUGUCAGAUUCAUUAUUAUAGCUAUGUAUGUUAUGUAUUUGUUAUAUUUGCACAGCUGAAUGUGGAAAGCAUCCAACUGUCAAACUUUGCCUUCACUAAAACAUGUGACUAGAAAUGAUGUCUGGAAAAACCUGAAUGUAUUGCAAUUUUGACGUUAUGUCUGACAGUUUUUAAUUUUUAAAUCCUUUUAGAUUAUCCAAAUGUUGAAUGGCCUUUUUCAGUUUGACUCCUCAAGAGUUUGCUCCAGUUGAGUAUUUUCCUGAUAAUCAUGUUUAGCAUGAAAGCCAAUGAAAAGUAAGCCGAUAUAAGCUCUAAAUAUUGUACAAGCAACACCGAAUCUAGUGCACAGUAUAUUUAUGAAAGUGCAGCGCUAGUAUACAGUGUUUAAAACGAUCUUAUGAUGUUUUUCAUUAAGCACAUUAGUGCUGGGCUCAUAUUAAACAGCUGGACGUUAAAUCAAAUUAAUGCUGGAUUAUAUUGCACACGACUGUAAUGGAAUGUGUAAUGUUUGAUUUCUAGUUAUCAAUGCACACUGCACAUUCCCUUUAUUAUGUUUAAACACAGGCAGCUCUAGUACCAAGACGCUGGUAUCGCUGCUUGUCACAAUAUACACUAAAUCAGUUAUUAAUUGCAAUGUAUGUACAUGCAGAUAUGCUCAUAUUCAGUCCGUUCCCAUGAAACACGUUUCUUUUGCUGCAUAGGUUUUCAGUAACGUUACACCUGUAAGAAUUAGACAGGUGCAUCACACACUUUACACUGACACUAAGAGUUUCUAUUACAAGGGGUGCAUUUUAGUUGUGUAUCCACAUUGCUGUUUGUGGAAAGGUGCUUAUAUGAGUUUGAGAUUGGGGAUUGUUCAUAUUUUUUUAUGUUUAAGGUCGAAACAGCCAUGAUUGUAUGGUGGCCUUUUGAAUGAAUCUGGAAGCACAUGUCUUUUGAAAUACUCGAGUUGUGCAAAACACUCACUGGUGUAGAAUGUGUAUGUCAUAAUAAAUGAAACCUGUUUAAAAGGUGUCUUGUGUUGUAUUGCUUAAUACAGCAAAACAGAAUGAUUUGUGAAACAUUGCGUGUCACUGAAGACCGCACUAAUUGAAAUGAUUUUUUUUUUAAAUUAUAUAUAUUCAAAUAGAAAAUGGUUAUUUUAAUUUUUUAAUACCGUAAUACUGUCUUUUCUGCAAAGAAAAUAAAUAAAC
Cyprinus carpio carpio is the source of this 1246-nucleotide long non-coding RNA. NCBI's taxonomy places the organism in Eukaryota, Metazoa, Chordata, Actinopteri, Cypriniformes, Cyprinidae. The record is from Ensembl.